This 247-nucleotide ribosomal RNA is filed under the name uncultured bacterium. RNAcentral describes it as "partial 16S ribosomal RNA". It matches the Rfam family "Bacterial small subunit ribosomal RNA", at positions 523 to 769 of the family's 1533-position model. The record is from RNAcentral.
AUACGGAGGGUGCAAGCGUUAUCCGGAAUCAUUGGGUUUAAAGGGUCCGCAGGCGGAAGAAUAAGUCAGUGGUGAAAUCUCCCAGCUCAACUGGGAAACUGCCAUUGAUACUGUUUUUCUUGAAUUUGGUCGGAGUGGGCGGAAUGUGUCAUGUAGCGGUGAAAUGCAUAGAUAUGACACAGAACACCGAUAGCGAAGGCAGCUCACUAGACCUGAAUUGACGCUCAUGGACGAAAGCGUGGGGAGC